Molecule: ribosomal RNA, 479 nt
Filed under: uncultured bacterium
Lineage: Bacteria
Description: bacterial SSU rRNA
Rfam family: Bacterial small subunit ribosomal RNA
Source: RNAcentral
AGGACGAACGCUGGCGGCGUGCCUAACACAUGCAAGUCGAGCGAGGAGAUUCCUUCGGGAUGAUCCUAGCGGCGGACGGGUGAGUAACACGUCGGGCAACCUGCCUCAUAGAGAGGAAUAGCCUUCCGAAAGGGACGAUUAAUACCUCAUAACAUUGCAGUUUCGCAUGGAACAGCAAUUAAAGGAGCAAUCCGCUAUGAGGAUGGGCCCGCGGCGCAUUAGCUAGUUGGUGAGGUAACGGCUCACCAAGGCGACGAUGCGUAGCCGACCUGAGAGGGUGAUCGGCCACAUUGGGACUGAGACACGGCCCAGACUCCUACGGGAGGCAGCAGUGGGGAAUAUUGCACAAUGGGGGAAACCCUGAUGCCAGCAACGCCGCGUGAGUGAUGACGGCCUUCGGGUUGUAAAGCUCUGUCUUCAGGGACGAUAAUGACGGUACCUGAGGAGGAAGCCACGGCUAACUACGUGCCAGCCGCGGC